GUGCUAGGUGGGGAGCUAGCGGUGCCCUGUACCUACAAUCCGCUACAGUAGGACUGAACACUAUUCUAGGCUUAGGCUAUGUAAGGUCUGCCUUCGACAAGUGAUGUUGAUAUCAAGGUCUUGUGCAAUUGUUCACUGCGAACCAUGUCAGAGCUUGACCGCAGCAGCAUUAAACAGAUCGAAUGAUGUGCCACGAGGUAGCUUUGAAGGAGUUAACUAUCGUUGUUCCGCUUGGGUAGUCUCUGUCGAAAAUAGAUG
Molecule: signal recognition particle RNA, 258 nt
Filed under: pig gut metagenome
Description: Bacterial large signal recognition particle RNA
Rfam family: Bacterial large signal recognition particle RNA
About the family: The signal recognition particle (SRP) is a universally conserved ribonucleoprotein involved in the co-translational targeting of proteins to membranes. Archaeal SRP consists of a 7S RNA and homologues of the eukaryotic SRP19 and SRP54 proteins.
Source: RNAcentral